GAUGAACGCUGGCGGCGUGCUUAACACAUGCAAGUCGAACGAUGAAGCCUAGCUUGCUGGGUGGAUUAGUGGCGAACGGGUGAGUAACACGUGAGCAACCUGCCCCUCACUCUGGGAUAAGCGCUGGAAACGGCGUCUAAUACUGGAUACGAAACGCAACCGCAUGGUAAGUGUUUGGAAAGAUUUUUUGGUGGGGGAUGGGCUCGCGGCCUAUCAGCUUGUUGGUGAGGUAAUGGCUCACCAAGGCGUCGACGGGUAGCCGGCCUGAGAGGGUGACCGGCCACACUGGGACUGAGACACGGCCCAGACUCCUACGGGAGGCAGCAGUGGGGAAUAUUGCACAAUGGGCGGAAGCCUGAUGCAGCAACGCCGCGUGAGGGAUGACGGCCUUCGGGUUGUAAACCUCUUUUAGCAAGGAAGAAGCGAAAGUGACGGUACUUGCAGAAAAAGCGCCGGCUAACUACGUG
RNAcentral lists this ribosomal RNA (467 nucleotides) under uncultured organism. Its description in RNAcentral is "bacterial SSU rRNA". It matches the Rfam family "Bacterial small subunit ribosomal RNA", at positions 28 to 507 of the family's 1533-position model. The record is from RNAcentral.